Long non-coding RNA from Malurus melanocephalus (red-backed fairy wren), 831 nucleotides. RefSeq lists it as uncharacterized. Lineage: Eukaryota; Metazoa; Chordata; Aves; Passeriformes; Maluridae. The transcript has 5 exons. The record is from RefSeq and is a predicted model, not a curated record.
GCGAGUGUCUCUGGUGACACGGGCUCCGUCUCCAUCGCGGCCGCCCAUAGCAACCGCUUCGGGAGAUGAUGGUCCGUGCUGUUCAAACCGUGACCAUUCACUCCGGCCACUCGGCAUUAUUUUGAGUGAUACARAGCUGAAUGUAAAGGCAGGAUUAUGUGUUGUGUCUGCAAAUGCUGCUUCAUACAAACCCCUGCUGCAGCCACCUUGCCUCCCUGCUGAUAAAGGUGUGGAUGAAGCCUGCCUGGCUGAGGAGGCCCUCGGGGUCGAGCAGCUGGAAGAAGUUGAGAUAAGUAAUCUGGAAGGUGCUGCUGUCCAGGUGGAAGAGGAGACAGCUGAAGCUGCUGAAACCAAUGCUGAAGCUUCAGAUGCCUUGUCCUUUGCUUGAAGCACCUUGCAGGCUGCUCUCAGCAUGGCCAGGCGGGCCCGGGACGUCGAGCUCGACYGGCUGGUGCAUGACAAGCCGCUGGCUGGCGGGGACCCGUCCCCUCCCGGUGCUCUAGAGCAGCUCCCCAAUGUCCCCAGCUACCGAGCCACCGCUGCCACCCGCUCCACCCCCGUCCCUGUCACCUGCAAGCCAAAGGCUGGAGUUGUCAACCCCAAUUUUUGCACUGAGGAGCAAUCCCCACUAGGAGGUCACCCCACGGUGGAGAUGGAGGAUGUGGACAGCGCAGGCGCUGCGGAGGAGCGCGGUGCCCCUUUGGCAGUGCCCGACCUGCUGGCGGUGCCUGGCGCAGCAUCCCCCAGGUAUGGCUCUGCCCCACCCUCCCCAGAGGGUACCAGGACAGGGACAUUUCAAAAACCAUGUGGAACAACCCAUUUUUCCAGCAG